RNAcentral lists this transfer RNA (70 nucleotides) under Fukomys damarensis (Damara mole-rat). It matches the Rfam family "tRNA". From Rfam's summary of the family: Transfer RNA (tRNA) molecules are approximately 80 nucleotides in length. Their secondary structure includes four short double-helical elements and three loops (D, anti-codon, and T loops). Lineage: Eukaryota; Metazoa; Chordata; Mammalia; Rodentia; Bathyergidae. The record is from Rfam by way of RNAcentral.
GUGCAUGUAGCUCAGUGGUAGAGUUCAUGCCUAGCAUGUUGAGGCCCUGGGUUCAAUCCCAGCACCCUCU